Non-coding RNA from Podarcis lilfordi (Lilford's wall lizard), 1126 nucleotides. The record is from the annotation of a GenBank genome assembly. Lineage: Eukaryota; Metazoa; Chordata; Lepidosauria; Squamata; Lacertidae.
GGAAGCUUGUCAUAGACCAAGCUGGGUCUGAAUCAAUAAGGAUGUGUCAACAACUAUGAUAUUAGUUUAGGCAAAAUAGAUGGGAGUGGAAGGUAAAUGUCCCCACUCUGCAUGCUUUCUUGACAUACGCCAGCUUACUGAGGGCUGUUCAUCGAAUGAAGCUUGGGGUGUCAGCAUGUCAGGACUGAUACAGUGAUGAGACACUCUCCCUCUGCUCCUUUUCAAUUCUGUUAAAAAUAGCAGAGUAAAUCAAAUCUAUUCCUUUUAUGAAAGCAACACUGCCCUGGGGCCUUCAAGGCUCUUAUUGAGAGAUGAGUUCUAUGCCUCUCUGUGAUAUGAGUACUCGUACUGUUAUUGAAAUGGAACAAUGGCAGGCAUUCUGUGGACAGCUAGUAGCAGCUGUUGAUCAGAGCUCUAUGGCUCAGUAACUUCAAAGGAUGGAGGGGAAAGACUGUUUUUCUACCCCUCUGCUGAUAUUGAAGAGUACAGCACGUUUAGGUGAAUAAGCUGGUUUCACUUUUGUUUUUAAGAUUUACUUUUCAUUAUCUUUGAAGCUCUCUGUUCUCAUCUGCUUCCUUUUCUGUCUCCACUAACAUUGGUUCUCUGAGUCCCCUAUUCUGGGCAAUCUUGCAUUCUGUAUGGCCUUUGAUCUCCUUCUCUUGCUCCUGCUUCUGAGCCAUUUUGUCUGAGAUAGGUUCCCCCUGUCCAUCAGACCACUUCCUUGUCCUCAUUCAAAUCCCUUUAACAAAGUCUUAUUCAUCCAAGACUCUGCUUUGGUGCUCCUCUCUGCAAGCUGGUGUCAAUGUAUCCUUAAGCACCAUCUCAAAUAGUAUCUGAACUGAAACCCAGACAGGACCAAAACCUAGCAUCUUAUAUUUACCUUCAACCUGAACUAGAACCCAACCAGUCUAAGCAGAAAACUGAAAGGGUAACCAGAUACUUUCAAUAACCAGGUUUUUGGUUCUUUUUUCUAUAGAUGGUAAACAAGGGCUCUGGUAUAACCUGAGAGACAGAGUAAGAGAAAAAAAGGGGGAGUAGAAAUUUGGCUCAUAUCACCCAAUACAUACUUGCCAUCCCACCCAUAAUAAAACUGCCCAUGCAAGAGGUAGAAUGUGCCAACAACCAA